Artibeus jamaicensis (Jamaican fruit-eating bat) is the source of this 195-nucleotide small nuclear RNA. RefSeq annotates it as U2 spliceosomal RNA. The record is from RefSeq and is a predicted model, not a curated record. The transcript has a single exon. Lineage: Eukaryota; Metazoa; Chordata; Mammalia; Chiroptera; Phyllostomidae.
AUCACUUCUUGGCCUUUUGGCUAAGAUCAAGUGUAGUAUCUGUUCUUAUCAGUUUAAUAUUAGUCAUGACACCAUAAAAGACCUAGAAGAAAACAUUGGCAGGAAAAUCUCAGACAUUCCAUGCAGCAAUAUUUUCACUGAUAUGUCCCCUAAAGCAAGAGACAUAAAGGAAAGAAUAAACAAAUGGGACCUCAU